RNAcentral lists this ribosomal RNA (269 nucleotides) under uncultured prokaryote. Its description in RNAcentral is "partial 16S ribosomal RNA". It matches the Rfam family "Bacterial small subunit ribosomal RNA", at positions 524 to 792 of the family's 1533-position model. The record is from RNAcentral.
UACGUAGGUGGCAAGCGUUGUCCGGAUUUACUGGGCGUAAAGGGAGCGUAGGCGGAUUUUUAAGUGAGAUGUGAAAUACCCGGGCUUAACUUGGGUGCUGCAUUUCAAACUGGAAGUCUAGAGUGCAGGAGAGGAGAAGGGAAUUCCUAGUGUAGCGGUGAAAUGCGUAGAGAUUAGGAAGAACACCAGUGGCGAAGGCGAUUCUCUGGACUGUAACUGACGCUGAGGCUCGAAAGCAUGGGUAGCGAACAGGAUUAGAUACCCGCGUA